CAGAGAAGGAGCCCUCUGCCUAAAAGAUGGGCCUACCCAGCAGCUCUAGGCUCAAGGGACCCUUUGGUCAUCCUCACUUCCAAAUCACUCAGUUCCAACUCUGGUGCACCUUGGCUCAUACCUGCCUCACUCCAGCAUUCCGUGGGACCCCGGGUGGGCAGGAAAAGGCCCAGAGUGGUAGGACCCUCUACCCCUGCCUGCUUUUCCUGGGCCACAUGGCUGUGACCUACCCCAGUCAUGCCCAGAAGGACCGCCUGAAGGCUAAGCUCCCCUCCACCAGUUCUCCAUAUCUACCUUGCCCGAGUCCACCCAGAAAGCCUCUCAUAAUACCUGUCCAGGAGCUGACCCCAGCAUCUGUCUGCUCUGCUGUUCCCACCUGUCUCAAGCACAAGGCUGGGACCUGAUGUACCACCUGCAACACACACACACACACACACACUGUGAUGACUGUCCCAUGAGCACAGGUGCCGCAGCAUCCCCUUAGCAGCAGUGAUAGCCAACCUAGGGAGGGCGGACCUCACCCCCACCUUAGUUCAGGAGGCAGGUCCCACCACCACUCUCAGAUUCCAUUCUCUCAGCGGGUCUAAGAUAAAACACUUUUUACCUCUUUCCGCCACGAGAGUGCUCACCGAGCACCUUCCAGGAUAUGCCAAUGUGGUCCGGAGCAUUUUUGAGAAAUUGUGUAUUCUUUUAGCUCUGAAGGCUUUAGCAUUACCUGCCUAUGUGGUUAACUUGUCCGCCUCCCCUCCACCCUGUCCUGUGCCUUGCUGCCUCCUCACCCAUGGCCACCCUUGGCAGAGGAAAGGCCACAAGCCCAGUGAGGAGGCGGCAGCCUGCCCCGCCACCCUGGGAACCAAGGAGGCAGAGCCCCACCGCCUGCCUAGAGGCUGGGGCAGGCCUCAGCUUGCUAGGCCCAGCAAACCCUCUCUGAGUUCAGUGCUAAUUCCAGUUUUUCUUGUUUGGAGGGGCUGAUCCUUAGCUUCCCUCUUUGCCCCCCAGAAUAGGUCCCAGGAUGAGUGGGGGAGGGGUGACCCUCCUGCCCUCCCUUCUCCCUCUGCCUCCUGCUGGGCCAUCCCUGCAGGGGCUUCCAAAGCUAUCCUCCUGGAAGGGUGCCCCUCCUGUGCACACUCUGAGGUCCAGGGUGGGCUGUGUUGGGGACAACACGAAUUCAAUCACACCAGGCCCCAGGAAAAGGAAUGGGGAGGGUGAGG
Molecule: long non-coding RNA, 1211 nt
Filed under: Marmota monax (woodchuck)
Lineage: Eukaryota; Metazoa; Chordata; Mammalia; Rodentia; Sciuridae
Source: RNAcentral